Molecule: transfer RNA, 75 nt
Filed under: Candidatus Woesearchaeota archaeon
Lineage: Archaea; Nanobdellati; Candidatus Woesearchaeota
Description: tRNA-Arg
Rfam family: tRNA
About the family: Transfer RNA (tRNA) molecules are approximately 80 nucleotides in length. Their secondary structure includes four short double-helical elements and three loops (D, anti-codon, and T loops).
Source: RNAcentral
GAGCCAGUGGCCUAGUUUGGAUAAGGCAGCAGCCUCCUAAGUUGCAGAUCGGGAGUUCAAAUCUUCCCUGGCUCG